CUCUGAUUCACACAUCAUGGAUUCCCUAAUUUGAACCAAGGAUUUGACCGACUACGGCCAGACUCUUGGUCCCGAUCUUUGCUUCUGUGCUGCCCGGCAGGAACAUGCUGAAGUUUGUGGCUGGUAGGGCUGGCGUGUGUGAGUGAAGCGGGGAUGGGGCAAAAAAAAAAAAAGACAAGAAAAUAGAGAAA
Molecule: long non-coding RNA, 191 nt
Organism: Megalops cyprinoides (Indo-Pacific tarpon)
Lineage: Eukaryota; Metazoa; Chordata; Actinopteri; Elopiformes; Megalopidae
Exons: 2
Source: RefSeq, a predicted model, not a curated record